CNGGNAGUUAGCCGAUGCUUAUUCGUUAGGUACCGUCAUUAUCUUCCCUAACAAAAGAGGUUUACAACCCACAGGCCUUCGUCCCUCACGCGGUAUUGCUCCGUCAGGCUUUCGCCCAUUGCGGAAAAUUCCCA
RNAcentral lists this ribosomal RNA (134 nucleotides) under Limnothrix redekei. RNAcentral's name for it is "partial 16S ribosomal RNA". The record is from RNAcentral. Lineage: Bacteria; Bacillati; Cyanobacteriota; Cyanophyceae; Pseudanabaenales; Pseudanabaenaceae.